Molecule: ribosomal RNA, 421 nt
Filed under: uncultured bacterium
Lineage: Bacteria
Description: bacterial SSU rRNA
Rfam family: Bacterial small subunit ribosomal RNA
Source: RNAcentral
UAAGGAAUAUUGGACAAUGGACGCAAGUCUGAUCCAGCCAUGCCGCGUGAAGGAUGAAUGCCCUCUGGGUUGUAAACUUCUUUUAUAGGGGAAGAAAGAUACUUUUUUUAAGGUAGUUGACGGUACCCUAUGAAUAAGCACCGGCUAACUCCGUGCCAGCAGCCGCGGUAAUACGGAGGGUGCAAGCGUUAUCCGGAUUUACUGGGUUUAAAGGGUGCGUAGGCGGGCAUGUAAGUCAGUGGUGAAAUACCGGAGCUUAACUUCGGAACUGCCAUUGAUACUAUAUGUCUUGAAUAUUGUGGAGGUAAGCGGAAUAUGUCAUGUAGCGGUGAAAUGCAUAGAUAUGACAUAGAACACCGAUUGCGGAGGCAGCUUGCUACGCAAAUAUUGACGCUGAGACACGAAAGCGUAGGGAUCAAAC